GAGGGCAAGUCUGGUGCCAGCACCCGCGGUAAUUCCGGCUCUAGUAGCGUAUAUUAAAGUUGUUGCAGUUAAAAAGCUCGUAGUCUGACUUCGGGCUGGGCUGUGAAGGCUCACCGCAAGGUGGGACGGAUAGCCUGGCCUUACCCUCUGAUGUGCUCUCUGCUCUUAACUGAGUGGAUCUGUUGCACAGAGGCGUUUACCUUGANCAAAUUGAGGUGUUCAAGGCAGGCAUAAUCGCUCGUACACGUUAGCAUGGGAUAAUGAAAUAGGGCCUUGGGUUCGCUGUUGCCGGUUGGUGAGCCCGGGCAAUGAUCAACAGGGGCGGUCGGGGUGCCUCAUAUGCAGGCGCUAGAGGUGAAAUUCUUGGACCGUCUGCAGAUGCCCAGAUGCGAAAGCGUUGCACCAGUACGUCCCCAUUGAUCAAGAACGAAAGUUAAGGGAGCGAAGACGAUCAGAUACCGUCGUAGUCUUAACCCUAAACGAUACCGACCAGGGAUCGAGGAUAGUCCCAUGGUUGACUCCUUCGGCGCCUUACGGGAAAC
RNAcentral lists this ribosomal RNA (542 nucleotides) under uncultured eukaryote. RNAcentral describes it as "bacterial SSU rRNA". It matches the Rfam family "Eukaryotic small subunit ribosomal RNA", at positions 551 to 1098 of the family's 1831-position model. The record is from RNAcentral.